This 585-nucleotide ribosomal RNA is filed under the name uncultured bacterium. Its description in RNAcentral is "bacterial SSU rRNA". It matches the Rfam family "Bacterial small subunit ribosomal RNA", at positions 338 to 916 of the family's 1533-position model. The record is from RNAcentral.
CCUACGGGAGGCAGCAGUGGGGAAUUUUGGACAAUGGGCGCAAGCCUGAUCCAGCCAUGCCGCGUGCGGGAAGAAGGCCUUCGGGUUGUAAACCGCUUUUGUCAGGGAAGAAAUCCUUUGGGUUAAUACCUCGGGGGGAUGACGGUACCUGAAGAAUAAGCACCGGCUAACUACGUGCCAGCAGCCGCGGUAAUACGUAGGGUGCGAGCGUUAAUCGGAAUUACUGGGCGUAAAGCGUGCGCAGGCGGUUGUGUAAGACAGAUGUGAAAUCCCCGGGCUCAACCUGGGAACUGCAUUUGUGACUGCACGGCUCGAGUACGGCAGAGGGGGAUGGAAUUCCGCGUGUAGCAGUGAAAUGCGUAGAUAUGCGGAGGAACACCGAUGGCGAAGGCAGUCCCCUGGGCCUGUACUGACGCUCAUGCACGAAAGCGUGGGGAGCAAACAGGAUUAGAUACCCUGGUAGUCCACGCCCUAAACGAUGUCAACUGGUUGUUGGGUGGGUUUCUACUCAGUAACGAAGCUAACGCGUGAAGUUGACCGCCUGGGGAGUACGGCCGCAAGGUUGAAACUCAAAUGAAUUGACGG